CUCGAGGCCAGAUCUUUCCGGUUGAUCCUGCCGGACCCGACUGCUAUCGGAUUGGGACUAAGCCAUGCGAGUCAACCCGCAAGGGUGGCGCACGGCUCAGUAACACGUAGUCAACCUACCCUGAGGACGAGGAUAACCCCGGGAAACUGGGGAUAAACCUCGAUAGGUCAUAGCUCCUGGAAUGGGCUAUGGCUCAAAUCUAUAUGGCCUCAGGAUGGGACUGCGUCCGAUCAGGUUGUUGGUGGGGUAAUGGCCCACCAAGCCUAUAACCGGUACGGGCUCUGAGAGGAGGAGCCCGGAGAUGGGCACUGAGACAAGGGCCCAGGUCCUAUGGGGCGCAGCAGGCGCGAAACCUCCGCAAUGGGCGAAAGCCCGACGGGGUCAGUCCGAGUGGCUCCCGCUAAGGGAGUCUUUUGCCAGCUGUAAACAGGCUGGUGAAUAAGGGGUGGGCAAGCCUGGUGUCAGCCGCCGCGGUAAUACCAGCACCCCGAGUGGUCGGGAUGAUUAUUGGGCCUAAAGCAUCCGUAGCCGGUGUAACAAGUCCUCCGUUAAA
Molecule: ribosomal RNA, 553 nt
Filed under: uncultured archaeon
Lineage: Archaea
Description: bacterial SSU rRNA
Rfam family: Archaeal small subunit ribosomal RNA
Source: RNAcentral